CCGCGCUAAAUGGGGAGGUAGCGGUGCCCUGUAGCCUGCAACCCGCUAUAGCAGGAUUGAAUUCCGUGUUGCGGCCGGUUUUCGUGACUCCGGCCGGAUUAAGUAGCGUUGAGGAUUGGGUCCCGCGCAACAGAAACUUAUAAACCCCGUCAGGUCCGGAAGGAAGCAGCGGUAAGUAAGAACUUUUGUGUGCCGUGGGGUUGCCUGGUCGGAGCCGGCUGGUCCGGUACGUUCGGGAAGAUUAGGUCAAGGCAAGGUGCGCGG
Molecule: signal recognition particle RNA, 264 nt
Filed under: Bacillota bacterium
Lineage: Bacteria; Bacillati; Bacillota
Description: signal recognition particle sRNA large type
Rfam family: Bacterial large signal recognition particle RNA
About the family: The signal recognition particle (SRP) is a universally conserved ribonucleoprotein involved in the co-translational targeting of proteins to membranes.
Source: RNAcentral